CUUUAGUAUCUCUAAAAGGUUAUACUUUAGUAUCUCUCAAAGGUUAUACUUUAGUAUCUCUAAAAGGUUAUACUUUAGUAUCUCUAAAAGGUUAUACUUUAGUAUCUCUAAAAGGUUAUACUUUAGUAUCUCUCAAAGGUUAUACUUUAGUAUCUCUAAAAGGUUAUACUUUAGUAUCUCUCAAAGGUUAUACUUUAGUAUCUCUAAAAGGUUAUACUUUAGUAUCUCUAAAAGGUUAUACUUUAGUAUCUCUAAAAGGUUAUACUUUAGUAUCUCUAAAAGGUUAUACUUUAGUAUCUCUAAAAGGUUAUGUGGUUAACUGGAUAAUAAUGGGCUAUACUUUAGUAUCUCUAAAAGGUUAUACUUUAGUAUCUCUAAAAGGUUAUGUGAUUAACUGGAUAAUAAUGGGCUAUACUUUAGUAUCUCUAAAAGGUUAUGUGAUUAACUGGAUAAUAAUGGGCUAUACUUUAGUAUCUCUAAAAGGGUAUACUUUAGUAUCUCUAAAAGGUUAUACUUUAGUAUCUCUAAAAGGUUAUACUUUAGUAUCUCUAAAAGGUUAUACUUUAGUAUCUCUAAAAGGGUAUACUUUAGUAUCUCUAAAAGGUUAUACUUUAGUAUCUCUAAAAGGUUAUGUGAUUAACUGUUUGAACUCAAUGAAGGGUUGCACAUUUUCGGUAACUUUCACAAAAUGUUCCUGAAAUCCCAGUUGGAAGUUUCCUGGAAUCAGGAGGGAAUAAACAGAGAAUCUGGGAAUCAUCCAACCAGGAUUUCUGGAAAACCUGGGAAUUUUGCAACCCUAAACUCAAGCUACUUUGGAGUUGAUAUUUAUUGGAUUAGAUGUAUCAUGUAUGAGCGCUAUUCUACUUCAUAUUUAUUAGGUGGAUCAUGUAUGAGUGCUAUUACGACAGGAAAGUGAUUCUCUGGAAAUUGUCGAUAUAUUUAGCUCUUUUUAUGGUGCUGAUUGCAUGUCUGUAGUACAUUAUAAUUGUGUUGAAUAAUAGAAAGAUGUAUGUUUCAAUGAUUUAUAUUAGAUUUCUCCACUGAAAAGUACAAGUGCAGCACAACCAGUAGGUAAACAUCAGACAAGCAAAUACACACACAAAUAUGUUAAAACAUUUAAUUUCGUAUAAAGUAUACAAACAAAACAACUUAAAAACAAUAAGAGACAUUCAAAUAACGUACUGUUCCAGUGGUUGAUCUUCUAAGACCAUUUCCUGUUUGAACGAACCAAUCAGAUUGCCCGAUACUAAGAAGUGGAUUCUUCCUACAGAGUCAGUAAACAGAGGAUGCAUCCAAAAAGGUACCCUAUUCCCUACAUAGUGCACUACGUACGACCAGCGCCCUAUAAAGUUGUGCACUAUGUAGGGAAGAGUGCCAUUUCAGAAGCAGUGUGUUGACCACCAAUUAACAUAAAAACAUAUCAUUUUAUAUCAGAAACGGAAAGAAAUAACCUAUUUGUUCACAGUUGGUAUGAAAGGACUGUUUGACAAAAUACCUGUUUAUACAAUAAAAACAUCUAAAGUAAAAAAUAAAAAAAAAUACAACUAUUUACAAUAAAAAAAAAUACCAAUCCUAUAUUUCACAGAAGUCACCCUGCUUAACAAUGCCACUGGUUUAAUCCUUUGUGCAACGUUGGCAGCUUGUUGGCAUUUGUUAUGUUCCCUAUUCAGAGUUGUGAGGGAAAAAGAGAUUGUUUCUAAAAAGCGCAUUCCGUUCUGUGUCCCUACAAGCACACCGUAUCCCAGUCUCCUUUCCUCACCUCUUCACCCCUACAUCCUCUCUCAUGACCAGGCCUUCCAAUCCAAGUUGAAAAAAGGACAAAGAUCCUUGGCUGAAAGUAUUGAGUGUCGAUAAACCAUUGUUUUGUGACAGUGGCAUAUCCUUUCAUUUACAUGAAGAAUAAACAGUAAGGUGGAGCCUAUGGCCUGGCCAUAGUAAGAUCCUAUAAAGACAGUGGUCUUUUCCUAUGUAGCCUAGUUACAGUAAGGUGGAGCCUAUGGCCUGGCCAUAGUAAGAUCCUAUAAAGACAGUGGUCUUUUCCUAUGUAGCCUAGUUACAGUAAGGUGGAGCCUAUGGCCUGGCCAUAGUAAGAUCCUAUAAAGACAGUGGUCUUUUCCUAUGUAGCCUAGUUACAGUAAGGUGGAGCCUAUGGCCUGGCCAUAGUAAGAUCCUAUAAAGACAGUGGUCUUUUCCUAUGUAGCCUAGUUACAGUAAGGUGGAGCCUAUGGCCUGGCCAUAGUAAGAUCCUAUAAAGACAGUGGUCUUUUCCUAUGUAGCCUAGUUACAGUAAGGUGGAGCCUAUGGCCUGGCCAUAGUAAGAUCCUAUAAAGACAGUGGUCUUUUCCUAUGUAGCCUAGUUACAGUAAGGUGGAGCCUAUGGCCUGGCCAUAGUAAGAUCCUAUAAAGACAGUGGUCUUUUCCUAUGUAGCCUAGUUACAGUAAGGUGGAGCCUAUGGCCUGGCCAUAGUAAGAUCCUAUAAAGACAGUGGUCUUUUCCUAUGUAGCCUAGUUACAGUAAGGUGGAGCCUAUGGCCUGGCCAUAGUAAGA
This is a long non-coding RNA of Oncorhynchus keta (chum salmon), 2548 nucleotides long. RefSeq lists it as uncharacterized. Lineage: Eukaryota; Metazoa; Chordata; Actinopteri; Salmoniformes; Salmonidae. The record is from RefSeq and is a predicted model, not a curated record. The transcript has 6 exons.